This 492-nucleotide ribosomal RNA is filed under the name uncultured bacterium. RNAcentral describes it as "partial 16S ribosomal RNA". It matches the Rfam family "Bacterial small subunit ribosomal RNA", at positions 29 to 507 of the family's 1533-position model. The record is from RNAcentral.
AGUGAACGCUGGCGGUAGGCCUAACACAUGCAAGUCGAACGGCAGCACAGUAAGAGCUUGCUCUUACGGGUGGCGAGUGGCGGACGGGUGAGGAAUACAUCGGAAUCUACUUUUUCGUGGGGGAUAACGUAGGGAAACUUACGCUAAUACCGCAUACGACCUACGGGUGAAAGCAGGGGAUCUUCGGACCUUGCGCGAUUGAAUGAGCCGAUGUCGGAUUAGCUAGUUGGCGGGGUAAAGGCCCACCAAGGCGACGGUCCGUAGCUGGUCUGAGAGGAUGAUCAGCCACACUGGAACUGAGACCCGGUCCAGACUCCUACGGGAGGCAGCAGUGGGGAAUAUUGGACAAUGGGCGCAAGCCUGAUCCAGCCAUACCGCGUGGGUGAAGAAGGCCUUCGGGUUGUAAAGCCCUUUUGUUGGGAAAGAAAAGCAGCAGGUUAAUACCCCGCUGUUCUGACGGUACCCAAAGAAUAAGCACCGGCUAACUUCGUG